GGUAGCAGACAAGCAUUUGACUGCUAUUAAAGUGGCUAAGGCCAUGAACAUGGAUGGACCUGCGGUGCAUUAGCUAGUUGGUGAGGUAACGGCCCACCAAGGCGACGAUGCAUAGCCGGCCUGAGAGGGCGGACGGCCACAUUGGGACUGAGACACGGCCCAAACUCCUACGGGAGGCAGCAUG
RNAcentral lists this ribosomal RNA (184 nucleotides) under uncultured bacterium. Its description in RNAcentral is "partial 16S ribosomal RNA". It matches the Rfam family "Bacterial small subunit ribosomal RNA", at positions 173 to 353 of the family's 1533-position model. The record is from RNAcentral.